ACUACGGGAGGCAGCAGUGAGGAAUAUUGGUCAAUGGGCGCGAGCCUGAACCAGCCAAGUAGCGUGAAGGAUGACUGCCCUACGGGUUGUAAACUUCUUUUAUCAAGGAAUAAAGUGAGGCACGUGUGCCUUUUUGUAUGUACUUUAUGAAUAAGGAUCGGCUAACUCCGUGCCAGCAGCCGCUGUAAUACGGAGGAUCCGAGCGUUAUCCGGAUUUAUUGGGUUUAAAGGGGGCGUAGAUGGGUUGUUAAAUCAGUUGUGAAAGUUUGCGGCUCAACCGUAAAAUUGCAAUUGAUACUGGCAGUCUUGAGUACAGGUGAGGUAGGCGGAAUGCGUGGUGUAGCGGUGAAAUGCUUAGAUAUCACGAAGAACUCCGAUUGCGAAGGCAGCUUACUAAACUGCCACUGACAUUGAUGCUCGAAAGUGUGGGUAUCAAACAGGAUUAGAUACCCCUGUAGUC
RNAcentral lists this ribosomal RNA (460 nucleotides) under uncultured bacterium. RNAcentral's name for it is "partial 16S ribosomal RNA". It matches the Rfam family "Bacterial small subunit ribosomal RNA", at positions 338 to 795 of the family's 1533-position model. The record is from RNAcentral.